GGGAGCGUUCCGCGAAAGUAGCGGCGGACGGGUGAGUAACACGUGGGCAACCUACCUGUAAGAUUGGGAUAACUUCGGGAAACCGGAGCUAAUACCGAAUAACAAUAAGAACCACAUGGUUCUUAUUUGAAAGAUGGCUUCGGCUAUCACUUACGGAUGGGCCCGCGGCGCAUUAGCUAGUUGGUGAGGUAACGGCUCACCAAGGCGACGAUGCGUAGCCGACCUGAGAGGGUGAUCGGCCACACUGGGACUGAGACACGGCCCAACUCCUACGGGAGGCAGCAGUAGGGAAUCUUCCGCAAUGGACGAAAGUCUGACGGAGCAACGCCGCGUGAGUGAAGAAGGUUUUCGGAUCGUAAAACUCUGUUGUUAGGGAAGAACAAGUAUCGUUCGAAUAGGGCGGUACCUUGACGGUACCUAACCAGAAAGCCACGGCUAACUACGUGCCACAGCCGCGGUAAUACGUAGGUGGCAAGCGUUGUCCGGAAUUAUUGGGCGUAAAGCGCGCGCAGGCGGUUCCUUAAGUCUGAUGUGAAAGCCCACGGCUCAACCGUGGAGGGUCAUUGGAAAACUGGGGGAAACUUUGAGUGCAAAAAGGAGAGUGGAAUUUCCCGCUUAGGGUAAAAUGUGCUAAAAAUUUGUGAGGAAGACCCUGGAAGGGAAUUUCUUGUUAGUAAUAAUAGGGUGAAAGGGUGGGAAGAAAAGAAUAAAUCCCGUUAGUCCAUCCACGAAUAUAUAUGUAUAGGGUUCGACUUAUCUAUACACAACC
RNAcentral lists this ribosomal RNA (769 nucleotides) under bacterium G9-15B. Its description in RNAcentral is "bacterial SSU rRNA". It matches the Rfam family "Bacterial small subunit ribosomal RNA", at positions 75 to 852 of the family's 1533-position model. The record is from RNAcentral.